Ribosomal RNA from Hylaeus volcanicus, 8311 nucleotides. NCBI's taxonomy places the organism in Eukaryota, Metazoa, Arthropoda, Insecta, Hymenoptera, Colletidae. The record is from RefSeq and is a predicted model, not a curated record.
CGACCUCAGAGCAGGCGAGAUUACCCGCUGAAUUUAAGCAUAUUACUAAGCGGAGGAAAAGAAACUAACAAGGAUUUCCUUAGUAGCGGCGAGCGAACAGGAAUGAGCCCAGCACUGAAUCCCGCGGUAUCGCCGCAGGGAAAUGUAGUGUUCAGGAGGAUCCGUUUAUCCCGUGACGUCGAACUGGGUCCAAGUCCAUCUUGAAUGGGGCCAUUUACCCAUAGAGGGUGCCAGGCCCGUAGCGACCAGUACGCGUUUCGGGAGGAUCUCUCCUUAGAGUCGGGUUGCUUGAGAGUGCAACCCUAAGUGGGUGGUAAACUCCAUCUAAGGCUAAAUAUGACCACGAGACCGAUAGCGAACAAGUACCGUGAGGGAAAGUUGAAAAGAACUUUGAAGAGAGAGUUCAAGAGUACGUGAAACCGUUCAGGGGUAAACCUGAGAAACCCAAAAGAUCGAAUGGGGAGAUUCAUCGGCGACGAAGCCGUCUUCCCGUUGGUGUGCGAUACCCCGAAUGGGCCUUCGUGGUUCCAAUACGUGGGUACGUCAUCUUUGGCGAACGAUCGGCGACGUAGUCGUGCACUUCUCCCUUAGUAGAACGUCGCGACCCGUUGUGUGUCGGUCUACGGCCUGGGCUAAUUGCCUGUCGCGGCACCUUCGUGUGCUCGCGGCAGAGGUUCGGUCGCCUGGCCGGCUGCACGACGGUACUCUGACGGUAUAGGGCCGCAACCAAUCCAUUUGAAAUGUAUGUGCGUCAGGCUCGUCGCAAGCUCGGACAGUUACCCGGAGUGUGCGGACCUAGUGCCCUCCCCGGGUCUGGCCAGCUGUUGGCAGACGAUGUCCUUGGACUGGCCAAGCUUUAAAUUACCGGUCAGCGACGCUACUGCUUUGGGUACUCUCAGGACCCGUCUUGAAACACGGACCAAGGAGUCUAACAUGUGCGCGAGUCAUUGGGAUAUGAAAACCUAAAGGCGCAAUGAAAGUAAAGGUCGUUCCUUAGCGUCGACCAAGGGAGGAUGGGCCAAAUACGUACUGGCCCCGCACUCCCGGGGCGUCUCGUUCUCAUUGCGAGAAGAGGCGCACCCAGAGCGUACACGUUGGGACCCGAAAGAUGGUGAACUAUGCCUGGUCAGGACGAAGUCAGGGGAAACCCUGAUGGAGGUCCGUAGCGAUUCUGACGUGCAAAUCGAUCGUCGGAACUGGGUAUAGGGGCGAAAGACUAAUCGAACCAUCUAGUAGCUGGUUCCCUCCGAAGUUUCCCUCAGGAUAGCUGGCACUCGCUCGUUCCUCCGUGAACGUGUGCGAGUUUCAUCUGGUAAAGCGAAUGAUUAGAGGCCUUGGGGCCGAAACGACCUCAACCUAUUCUCAAACUUUAAAUGGGUGAGAUCUCUGGCUUGCUUGGGUCAUGAAGCCAAGAGAUUUUGAAUCAGAGUGCCAAGUGGGCCAAUUUUGGUAAGCAGAACUGGCGCUGUGGGAUGAACCAAACGCAGAGUUAAGGCGCCUAAGUCGACGCUUAUGGGAUACCAUGAAAGGCGUUGGUUGCUUAAGACAGCAGGACGGUGGCCAUGGAAGUCGGAAUCCGCUAAGGAGUGUGUAACAACUCACCUGCCGAAGCAACUAGCCCUGAAAAUGGAUGGCGCUGAAGCGUCGCGCCUAUACUCCGCCGUCAGCGGCAAGUGGGGAGGGACGUUGUCACUCUCGGGUGGCCGUCCUCCAUGAAGCCCUGACGAGUAGGAGGGUCGCGGCGGUGUGCGCAGAAGGGUCUGGGCGUAAGCCUGCCUGGAGCCGCCGUCGGUGCAGAUCUUGGUGGUAGUAGCAAAUACUCCAGCGAGGCCCUGGAGGACUGACGUGGAGAAGGGUUUCGUGUGAACAGCCGUUGCACACGAGUCAGUCGAUCCUAAGCCCUAAGAGAAAUCCUAUGUAGAUGAGGUGUCCUAAAAUAAUAUACAUACAUACAUACAAUAAUGCAAACAUGAAAAAUUAAAGAAUUCACGGCAGAUAAUGAAAAUGUAAUGAAAGAUACACACCCAUCGGGCGAAAGGGAAUCCGGUUUCUAUUCCGGAACCCGGCAGCGGAACCGCUUACCAUUCGGGCCCUCGUAAGAGUGUUCGUCGGGGUAACCCAAAAUGACCUGGAGACGCCGUCGGGAGAUUCGGGAAGAGUUUUCUUUUCUGUAUAAGCGUUCGAGUUCCCUGGAAACCUCUAGCAGGGAGAUAGGGUUUGGAACGCGAAGAGCACCGCAGUUGCGGCGGUGUCCGGAUCUUCCCCUCGGACCUUGAAAAUCCAGGAGAGGGCCACGUGGAGGUGUCGCGCCGGUUCGUACCCAUAUCCGCAGCAGGUCUCCAAGGUAAAGAGCCUCUAGUCGAUAGAUUAAUGUAGGUAAGGGAAGUCGGCAAAUUGGAUCCGUAACUUCGGAAUAAGGAUUGGCUCUGAGGAGCGGGGCGUGUCGGGCUUGGUCGGGAAAUGGGUCUGGCUGACGUGCCGGGCCUGGGCGAGGUGAACGGUAGCGGUAAAACGUUUUCCGGGAUCCGAGCUCGGUCCCGUGCCUUGGCCUCCCGUGGAUCUUCCUUGCUGCGAGGCUUCUGUGGCGGUUUUCCGUCGCGGUCGUUCUCUUCGGCCGCCAUUCAACACUCAGCUCAGAACUGGCACGGACAAGGGGAAUCCGACUGUCUAAUUAAAACAAAGCAUUGCGAUGGCCCCCGAGGGUGUUGACGCAAUGUGAUUUCUGCCCAGUGCUCUGAAUGUCAACGUGAAGAAAUUCAAAAAAGCGCGGGUAAACGGCGGGAGUAACUAUGACUCUCUUAAGGAUGGACUCUCUUAUGGAGUCUUCGUCCGACCUUCGUCGUGUAUACAUCGUAGCGAGCGAGCUCCGGUGGAAGUAAACACGUCGAGUAGCGAAGGCAACUACGCAGCGCCCAACGGUUCCCGGGGCCCUGUGGUGGACUUUUCCACAUCUGGGGGGGAACCAAAUGUUGACGACCAUGGCGAUUCUACUGGACAUCGAGUGGACAAUGGAAGGGAUUUUCUAACGGACACCAGGAGCAAUAUCACAAUAAGUAUACCGUUAGAAAAUAUAACGUAUUGUCCCGUGUGCUCAUUGAAUAGUGGAAACGUGGGUUUCCUCGUUCUGCGUGAUUUAGUUAAACACUUAAAAGAACAACACGCGGAAACUCCCGUUUCCUGGCAAUGUCGUGUUUGUGGAAAGAUAUUCCCGGGUUCUCACAAUUGUAUCUGUCAUAUCCCAAAAUGCAAGGGUAGACAAGUUGUAGUUCAAAAUGCAUUUUGUUGUGAAAUUUGUUCGGAUUCUUUCACCUCCGCGAGGGGUUUGUCGAUGCAUGAACGACAUCGACACCCUGCAGUUAGAAAUAAUAAAAGAGCCAACGAUUGCGAGCGUCCCCGAAAUAAUUCGGGCCGUCGCAAUCGUGUUUGGACUAACGCAGAGAUAGAUUUGUUAAUUGAAUUGAAUGCGCUAUAUGAGGGUGAAAGAUAUCCGAACGUCCAAAUACAUAGACACAUUUCCACAAAAACGACAAAACAAAUUAGUGAUAAAAGAAGAGAAUUAAGAGCAGCUGGGCGUUUGAGUGUGAAUGCAUCAGUUUCUACACAUAAUAAUAGCGAAAUAAUUGACGACGUAGAAAAUACAAAUACUGAUGGGCAGGUUGACCCAGACGACAUUCGCACUCAAACGCCCAACAUUCCUACUACUAACGGAAUUACGGGACAAUACGUCGGGAUCUCGGGAUCGGUCGGUACUCACGCGAUCAGCCGCGACGACGCGUUACAUGAUUUGUCGCGAGCGUCGCGUGAGAAUAACGACAUUCGUGACGCGAUCGACGAAGAAUGGUACAACUCGGUUAAAUCAAUGGCUUCGUCGAUCGCACUUCCAAAUGAUCAUAAGUUUUCAGAUUUGAUAAAUGAACUCGACGCAAUUUUAAGCGUUUUAGAAGAAGAUCCCGAGAUCCCAAAUAAAAUCGAUAUAUUUAUAAGUAACUCCCUGAACCCAAAACUAUUGGGAGACGGGAAUGGGGGGCUUGGUGACAACCACCGUAACCGCAGAGCCACCCGGGCGAGCUCGCAAGCUCGCACGGGUAGGAGGAAAAAUAAUCAUAAUACGCGGGCACGCUACGGAUUUGCGAGAUGCCAGGAACUGUAUAAUAAAUGUCCAAAAAAGCUGGCGGACGUGGCGCUAAGCGGGGAUUUCUCUGCUGUUGAAAUGCGCAGAGAUCCUCCCGCGGCCCCCAUGAUCCGACAGUUAUACAAUGAAUUAUGGGGGACGACCGGGCCCGUUGUAGAUCAAAAUUUUAUCAAUGGAAAUAAUGCAGCGAACGAACCGGUCUCGAUGUCGGUGGCGUGCCCGCCCCUUACGGUUGAUGAGAUUCGGAAGCGAAUUAAUAAGAUUAAAAAUAAUACCGCGGGUGGUCCGGAUCUUAUCAGAAAAGCACACAUUAAACAGUCGGGAGUGUGCGAGGUGGUCACCAAGCUCUUCAACAUUCUACUGCUCUCGAGACAUUACCCCGUGUUUUGGAAAACAAAUAGAACCACUCUUAUCCCAAAGCCGGGAAAAGAUCAUAAUGAUGUUAAAAAUUGGAGACCAAUCACAAUUGGUCCACUUUUGGCAAGGGUGUUCUCGGGAGCAGUAGAUUUUAGAUUUAGAAAAUUUAUGGCACAAUCCGAGAGACAGAAAGGUUUCGUUGCCGAAGACGGCUGUAAAAAUAAUAUUAUGCUCUUGGAUCGGGCCAUAUCCCGGAUGAAGGGGGAGAGGGGUGGAGUUGUCACUAUAGUAGACAUAUCUAAAGCCUUUGACACGAUACCCCACUCCGCCCUAGAACCCUGUUUAAAAAGAAAGCGCUCACCACAGAUGUUAGCAACUUUUGUCAAAAACAUGUAUAAGGAAUGCAAAACUGUGGUGAGCGCCCAGGGUGGUGACGGGGUCGACGUCGUAUUAAAAAGAGGAGUUAAGCAGGGGGACCCUCUGUCCCCUUUGCUUUUUAAUGUAGUCGUCGAGCCCGUAAUCGAGCAUAUAAACAAUAUGACAUCCGGGAUUAAAGUUACGGAUACUAACCUCUCGGUUCUAGCCUUUGCAGAUGACAUGGUCCUAUUAGCGGCAGAUAAAAAUGAAGCCAUGAAGCAGGUGGAUAUCCUGAGCAGAUAUCUGGAGGGUCUGGGCAUGAGCCUAUCAAUAGGCAAGUGCUCGACCUUCGAAAUCGUUAAUAAACAGAAAACAUGGUUUAUUAGGGACCCGUGUCUGGAAGUAAAAGGCGAAAGACUGCCUAUUGUUAACCCAGAGGAAAUAAUUACAUAUCUAGGUGCAGGGCUGGACCCGUGGGGGGGGUUGAAAAGAGGCGAGAAAAUCCCAGCCAUUAUGUUGGCAAUAAAAAAUGUCAGGCGGAUGAAACUAAAACCUUACCAGAAAAUUCACUUAAUACAACAAUACGUUUUGCCUCAUUUCUUGCAUGGUCUGAUCUCGUGUCCUCCCCAUGGGACGACACUUGUGAGAUUAGACCAGGCAAUUAGACAAGAAAUAAAGCAAAUUCUCCACCUGACAUUAUCGACCACUGAUGGCUUAAUAUAUACUGCCAAAUCGCAUGGUGGUCUGGGGUUUCCUCGCCUCGAAUAUACCGUGAAGUUGGCCGUACUUAAGCAUGCUAUAAGGGCAGGGGAAGCGGCGGACCCUGCCCUUAGAGAAAUGAUGAAAGAUGACACGCUGCAAAAGCGGCUUAAAAUGUACGCCAACUCACUUAGAAUAAAUUGGCCGGCCACCCUCCCUGAGAUCGAGUCAGCGCGAAAAAGGUUACGAAAAUGUGAAACGGAUAAAUGGCAAGAACUCGUAUCUCAGGGACAGGGGGUGGCCGACUUCCGCCGCGAUAGAAUAGGAAAUGCAUGGCUUGGAGCCCCAUGGCUCCUGAAAUCAUCGCGAUUCAUCGACGCCCUCAAGCUCAGAACUAACACAUUCGGUAAUCGAGUAACUCUAAAAAGAGCAAAUGAGGGCGUCGAUAUUACGUGCAGGAGGUGUCGCGCCCGGCCCGAAACACUCGGGCACAUUAUUGGCGGGUGUAUACACAUCAAGCCCAUGCGUAUAAAACGCCAUGAUGAAAUUAAAGAUCUAAUCGCGAAUAAAGUGGGCUCGAGGUGUACCGUGUUUCCAGAACCAACCGUAAACGUUUUGGGGGAGCUCCUAAAGCCGGACCUGGUAAUUAAAGACCAGGAAAAGCUCCUCGUGGUCGACGUUACAGUCCGCUACGAGGAUCGAGCAAACCUAAAACGCGCGUUUAAAGAAAAGAUCGAUAAAUAUACGGUCGCCGCGCAAUUCAUUAAACAAAGAUUAAAAUGCGCGGAAGCUAAAGUCCUGCCAAUAGUGGUUGGGGCCAGGGGCGCGAUGCCUCCAGAGACACUAAAAAACCUCCGGGAGCUGGGGCUCCCCAAAAGCGACUCAUUGACGAUCUCAAUGAUUGCAUUGAGAUCGUCAAUCGAGAUAGCAAACGCUUUCAUCGACUAUGAUAAUAUCGACUAACCCUAUGGGGGAUAUACCAACAACAUAUGCGUAUACCUUUUAUUACGCAUAGUCUUUUUGCUCGCGUGUUUACCGAUAAGUAUUCACGUGACAACCGAGGUUAAAAAUAAUACCUUAACCAAAUGACUGUCGAUGAAAGCGAUUGCUUAGUUAGCCCACUACAAGAACAGUGGUGCGAGUCGUAAGGCAAUUCGAACUCGUUCGAAUGUGCUACGGCGGCAGAGCGGGCUCAGUAUGCAUGAACUGAGCCCGGGCGGAUGCCUCCACGUGGCAUUCCCUGGGAACACUCUCCAAAAGAGAUGUGGCUAAAUCCGCUUUCCCUUCGAGGGGACUCUGUUCUAUCUAAUUUUUCCAGGCCUGUUUGGGCAGUCCUUAGUGGACUGUAUCAGAAUAUACAGGGGCGGGUUUCGCUAGAAAGUAGACCCCUACCCCGAAAUCGCGAUAUUUAGUCGUCGGUUCGUUGUUAGUUGUUGUUGUUAAGUUUGAAGCCCUACGGGGGGGAUAUACCCCGAAAGUUCACCCUCUUGCAUUAUAUGCAAGACGGUGCAGUAUUUAGCCAAAUGCCUCGUCAUCUAAUUAGUGACGCGCAUGAAUGGAUUAACGAGAUUCCCAUCUGUCCCUAUCUACUUUCUAGCGAAACCACUGCCAAGGGAACGGGCUUGGAAAAAUUAGCGGGGAAAGAAGACCCUGUUGAGCUUGACUCUAGUCUGGCAUUGUAAGGAGACAUGAGAGGUGUAGCAUAAGUGGGAGAUGGCAACAUCGCCGGUGAAAUACCACUACUUUCAUCGUUUCUUUACUUACUCGGUUAGGCGGAGCGCGUGCACCGACGUCUUUGACGCGGUUGUCACGGAAUUCUAGAACCAAGCGUGUAAGAGUGGUGUGAGGACAUCGCGUCCGAUCGCCAGUAAUACUCCCGCGUGAUCCGAUUCGAGGACACUGCCAGGCGGGGAGUUUGACUGGGGCGGUACAUCUGUCAAAGAAUAACGCAGGUGUCCUAAGGCCAGCUCAGCGAGGACAGAAACCUCGCGUAGAGCAAAAGGGCAAAAGCUGGCUUGAUCUCGAUGUUCAGUACGCAUAGAGACUGCGAAAGCACGGCCUAUCGAUCCUUUUGGCUUGAAGAGUUUUCAGCAAGAGGUGUCAGAAAAGUUACCACAGGGGUAACUGGCUUGUGGCGGCCAAGCGUUCAUAGCGACGUCGCUUUUUGAUCCUUCGAUGUCGGCUCUUCCUAUCAUUGCGAAGCAGAAUUCGCCAAGCGUCGGAUUGUUCACCCGCCAACAGGGAACGUGAGCUGGGUUUAGACCGUCGUGAGACAGGUUAGUUUUACCCUACUGAUGACUAGUCGUUGCGAUAGUAAUCCUGCUCAGUACGAGAGGAACCGCAGGUUCGGACAUUUGGUUCACGCACUCGGUCGAGCGGCCGGUGGUGCGAAGCUACCAUCCGUGGGAUUAUGCCUGAACGCCUCUAAGGCCGUAUCCUUUCUAGUCAAAGGUGGCAACGAUAUUUCUAGGAUUCUCGUGUGGGUCGAAAGGCUCAAAACAAUGUGAUACUACUAGGUGCUCGGUCCUCGUGGCCGGGCAUCGCACGGGCCCCAUUUUGCCUUAUGCGCGUCUUCGUAUUUGUCGAGUCGGGAUCUCGCCGACGACAAACGUGGCGUUCGAAGGGUAGAUCAUGGGUACUCCAAGUUCGACGUCGUGAAUCGGAAUCGUCUGUAGACGACUUAGGUACCUGGCGGGGUGUUGUACUCGGUAGAGCAGUUACCACGCUGCGAUCUGUUGAGACUCAGCCCUAUGCUUGGGGAUUCGU